AGAGUUUGAUCCUGGCUCAGGACGAACGCUGGCGGCGUGCGUAAUACAUGCAAGUCGAGCGGUCGACGGCUCUUCGGAGGCGUCGGCAGCGGCGGACGGGUGAGGAACACGUGAGUAACCGGGCGUCCGGUGGGGGAUAUCGGGCCGAAAGGCGCGGCAAUCCCGCAUGCGCCCCGGGCGGCGCCAGCCGCCGGGGGGAAAGGCCUUCGGGUCGCCGGACGGGGGGCUCGCGGCCCAUUAGCUAGUUGGGGGGGUAACGGCCUCCCAAGGCGACGAUGGGUAGCCGGCCUGAGAGGGUGAUCGGCCACACUGGGACUGAGACACGGCCCAGACUCCUACGGGAGGCAGCAGUAGGGAAUCUUCCACAAUGGGCGCAAGCCUGAUGGAGCAACGCCGCGUGAGUGAAGACGGCCUUCGGGUUGUAAAGCUCUGUCUGUCGGGACGAGGACCGCGCCGNNCGGCGCGGGGGGACGGUACCGGCGGAGGAAGCCCCUGCAAACUACGUGCCAGCAGCCGCGGUAAGACGUAGGGGGCAAGCGUUGUCCGGAAUUACUGGGCGUAAAGGGCGUGUAGGCGGUUGCGCACGUAGCGGUUUUCAGCCGUCGGCUCACCCGACGGAGGGCGGCUAAACGGCGCAGCUCGAGGGCAGGAGAGGUGCAUGGAAUUCCUGGUGGAGCGGUGAAAUGCGUAGAGAUCAGGAAGAACACCGGUGGCGAAGGCGGUGCACUGGCCUGGCCCUGACGCUGAGGCGCGACAGCGUGGGGAGCGAACGGGAUUAGAUACCCCGGUAGUCCACGCCGUAAACGAUGGAUACGAGGUGUCGCGGGGGUCCACCUCGCGGUGCCGGAGCUAACGCACUCAGUAUCCCGCCUGGGGAGUACGGCCGCAAGGUUGAAACUCAAAGGAAUUGACGGGGGCCCGCACAAGC
Molecule: ribosomal RNA, 928 nt
Filed under: Sulfobacillus acidophilus
Lineage: Bacteria; Bacillati; Bacillota; Clostridia; Eubacteriales; Clostridiales Family XVII. Incertae Sedis
Description: bacterial SSU rRNA
Rfam family: Bacterial small subunit ribosomal RNA
Source: RNAcentral